This 402-nucleotide ribosomal RNA is filed under the name uncultured prokaryote. RNAcentral's name for it is "bacterial SSU rRNA". It matches the Rfam family "Bacterial small subunit ribosomal RNA", at positions 355 to 774 of the family's 1533-position model. The record is from RNAcentral.
UAGGGAAUAUUAGAAAUGGACGAAAGUCUGAUCUAGCAACACCGCGUGUGCGAAGAAGGCCUUCGGGUCGUAAAGCACUUUUUGGAAGGAAUAGGAAGGAAUGUACUUCCAGAAUAAGUCUCGGCUAACUACGUGCCAGCAGCCGCGGUAACACGUAGGAGGCAAACGUUAUCCGGAUUUACUGGGCGUAAAGCGCGUGUAGGUGGUACUGUAAGUAGGGCGCGAAAGCUCCUGGCUCAACUGGGAGAGGCCGUUCUAAACUGCAGAACUAGAGGAUGGUAGAGGGAGGUGGAAUUUCAGGUGUAGCGGUGGAAUGCGCAGAUAUCUGAAGGAACACCAGUGGCGAAAGCGGCCUCCUGGACCAUUCCUGACACUCAGACGCGAAAGCUAGGGUAGCAAACG